UGGGGAAUAUUGCACAAUGGGCGCAAGCCUGAUGCAGCCAUGCCGCGUGUAUGAAGAAGGCCUUCGGGUUGUAAAGUACUUUCAGCGGGGAGGAAGGGAGUAAAGUUAAUACCUUUGCUCAUUGACGUUACCCGCAGAAGAAGCACCGGCUAACUCCGUGCCAGCAGCCGCGGUAAUACGGAGGGUGCAAGCGUUAAUCGGAAUUACUGGGCGUAAAGCGCACGCAGGCGGUUGAUUGAGUCAGAUGUGAAAUCCCCGGGCUUAACCCGGGAAUUGCAUCUGAUACUGGUCAGCUAGAGUCUUGUAGAGGGGGGUAGAAUUCCAUGUGUAGCGGUGAAAUGCGUAGCGAUGUGGAGGAAUACCGGUGGCGAAGGCGGCCCCCUGGACAAAGACUGACGCUCAGGUGCGAAAGCGUGGGGAGCAAACAGG
Molecule: ribosomal RNA, 429 nt
Filed under: Chloroflexota bacterium
Lineage: Bacteria; Bacillati; Chloroflexota
Description: Chloroflexi bacterium partial 16S ribosomal RNA
Rfam family: Bacterial small subunit ribosomal RNA
Source: RNAcentral